Long non-coding RNA from Oreochromis niloticus (Nile tilapia), 1874 nucleotides. RefSeq lists it as uncharacterized. The transcript is spliced from 3 exons. The record is from RefSeq and is a predicted model, not a curated record. Lineage: Eukaryota; Metazoa; Chordata; Actinopteri; Cichliformes; Cichlidae.
CAACUCUUGAGGGACAUGUGCAUGACGUCACAUGAGAAAACUCUGUAUCCACUGGCAUGGCGGUGACAUAAGAGGUGGCAAACUACCAAAGGAUUCGGUUUUUGAUGGUUCAGGGGAAACACAUAAUUCACUUAGGACUGCUGGUAUGAUUGUUGUGGGAUGCUUUCUAGGCGUGUGUGACUGGGGCCUUAUUCAGUUGACCCUACAUUGUUCAUCCACCUGUUUUCUUCUACCUAUCCAAUUCAGGGUUGUGAGGGUCUGAAGCCUAAUCCAGCUACCGAAGAGUGAGAACCCUAGACAGGUCAACAAUCUGUCACUGAGAGAGACUAUCAUUCACACCUAAGGUGAAUAUUGAAUCACCAGUUAACCAAACCCCACUAAUUGCAUGUCUCUGGACAGUGGGAGGAAGCAUGAGGAACCAGUGAGAAUCCACACAGACACAGGACAUCAUACAGAUGGCGAGUUUAAACCUAGGACCUUCCUGCUGUGAGCCAACGUGCUACCCUUUAUAUUGCCACAGAUCCACAAUACCAGACAAUUCCUGGAAGGCAGUUUGACAGUUGGACGUGAUCCACCAGCUUCUCCAUUUCCUGAAAGUCUUUCUCACACUUGCUCAAGCUGUUCAUUGAGUGACAAAAGAGAAAGCAAAGCUGUGGCAUGACUGCGCUUGAAGAGGCUGCCUUGUUGGACAUUUGGCAUUCCACUGGCACAGCAUCACAGAUGAUCAGACAGCAGAUGAGAUCAGGCGAACAACUCCUUGGACUAUGAUGUCUGCGAAUGGCACAGUGAUCUCAGCAUGGAUGAGAGGGAGGACAGUGGAAUAGUUAGAAUGGCCAAGGCGGAUAGGGUCAACUAUCCAAGCCAUCAGGGCAUGUGGAAGAGAAGUGAAGAAGAGCACAGAGGCAGGUCGUUGAAGAUGGCCUUCCCUUGUUCCCUCUUAGGAAGAAGCUCAAAGAGGUGGUUUAUGGAUGUGGUGAGAGAGCACAUGCAGAUGGUAGGUGUGGCAGAGGAAGAUGCAGAGGACAGGAAGAGCUGGAAACGGAUGAUGCACUGUGGUGGCCAGUAACAGGAAGAGCUUUGUUUGGGCAUGUAAUUAUACCCAUAUUUAGUAUAUUGCGGGUUUAAAAAUAUUAUUUUAAGAAAAUGUAUUUUUCCCCAUGUCUAUAUAAAUGCUUAUGCAUUCGUAAACAAAUAAAAGUGAGGCUGCAGAAAAGGUUAUCUCUAUAGUAACAUCAGCCUUGUCAUAGGCUUCAAAUGAAAAUCUCUUAAGUGUUGGGGCCUCUAAAGAAAUGACAGGUCAUUCAAGCUCCCUUUGUCUCUUUGUCAUCCUUUCAUUAUCAUGACCGGACAGGCAAAAAAACAUUUGACGUUGCUAUGGUUGGGAGGUUCUACAGUACACACAGCCGGACGACUUAGCCCUUUUUGUCUCAGAUUUCUUUGGCUUUACUUCUGACUAGAAACACUCCCAGGCAGAAUGCCAGGAUCCCCAAGGAGAGUUCAGACGUUUGUCCUGUGCCACUAUUAGGAUGCCAAGAUAGGAAGAAUUAGAUUAAUUACAAGAAAUAUGAAUUGGGGAGAAAAUGAAAAGGAGAUAUUCAUUCCUUGCUGGGCCAAAGGUUGAAUCACUCAGGGCAGACUCGGCAAGUCCUUUUGUGCAGAUGAUGUCUCUGAUACGGGCAGAUACUGGAAGACACACUGAAAGGGGAAGCGAUUACACUUAACUUAUUUAUCCUAGCUAAUUUUAAGUGUGCGCACUUUAUGCGAACACACAAACACAGACAGUAAAUGACCUCAUGAGACAGCCUGAUAAAGUUGUCUGACAAAAACAACAACAUCUUGUGCGUGAGCCAGCAGCUCCUUUUAAUCCUACAGUA